Molecule: ribosomal RNA, 467 nt
Filed under: uncultured bacterium
Lineage: Bacteria
Description: partial 16S ribosomal RNA
Rfam family: Bacterial small subunit ribosomal RNA
Source: RNAcentral
GACGAACGCUGGCGGCGUGCUUAACACAUGCAAGUCGAACGGAAAGGCCCUGCUUUUGUGGGGUGCUCGAGUGGCGAACGGGUGAGUAACACGUGAGUAACCUGCCCUUGACUUUGGGAUAACUUCAGGAAACUGGGGCUAAUACCGGAUAGGAGCUCCUGCUGCAUGGUGGGGGUUGGAAAGUUUCGGCGGUUGGGGAUGGACUCGCGGCUUAUCAGCUUGUUGGUGGGGUAGUGGCUUACCAAGGCUUUGACGGGUAGCCGGCCUGAGAGGGUGACCGGCCACAUUGGGGCUGAGAUACGGCCCAGACUCCUACGGGCGGCAGCAGUGGGGAAUAUUGCACAAUGGGCGGAGGCCUGAUGCAGCAACGCCGCGUGCGGGAUGACGGCCUUCGGGUUGUAAACCGCUUUCGCCUGUGACGAAGCGUGAGUGACGGUAAUGGGUAAAGAAGCACCGGCUAACUACGU